RNAcentral lists this ribosomal RNA (301 nucleotides) under uncultured bacterium. RNAcentral's name for it is "partial 16S ribosomal RNA". It matches the Rfam family "Bacterial small subunit ribosomal RNA", at positions 509 to 809 of the family's 1533-position model. The record is from RNAcentral.
CAGUCGCCGCGGUAAUACGAAGGGGGCUAGCGUUGUUCGGAAUUACUGGGUGUAAAGGGCGCGUAGGCGGCCAUUCAAGUUAGAUGUGAAAGCCCUGGGCUCAACCUAGGAAUUGCAUUUGAUACUGUUUGGCUUGAGUUCGGGAGAGGUGAGUGGAAUUCCCAGUGUAGAGGUGAAAUUCGUAGAUAUUGGGAAGAACACCAGUGGCGAAGGCGGCUCACUGGACCGACACUGACGCUGAGGCGCGAAAGCGUGGGGAGCAAACAGGAUUAGAUACCCCCGUAGUUCCUGUCUCUUAUAA